CAUCUCCAUGGCUCUGUGGCACAGGCAGAACAUGUAUCCUUUCCACACACCUGAUCCUCACAUCAGCAUCUAGACCUGCUGUCAGCUUCUCCUGUCCAAGGGAUUGGAGGCAGUUUGGAGUGGGUGAACCAUGCCAUUGAGUCGACCAUUUAUGUAGCUGUUAAUCCUAAAAAAAUAUUUAUUUUUGUGACUAAUUUCUGUACAGGAGUACAGCCCCUAGAUGUGAGAGUUUGGACAACAGGGAAGGUGAUAUAAACCACUCGGUCCUGUUCAGCAGAAAUCUUUGAGAUUUGCUCACUAAGUUUACAUCUCUCCUUGAACAUGAACAGAGAUUUAAAUGACCACCCUGAAGAGGAGUCUUGGUGUCUGCAAAUGAAUAUACAAAAAUCAGGAUAUAGCAAAGCUGUACUUUCUUCCACUUGUAUCCAUAAAAACACUUUUCUGCUGCCGUGCCCAACUCUAGCUCUGUGAAAUGGGAAGGGAUUUCUCUGGAAUGAAAGAAAUGCUAUCUCAUGAGA
Non-coding RNA from Taeniopygia guttata (zebra finch), 518 nucleotides. The record is from RefSeq and is a predicted model, not a curated record. NCBI's taxonomy places the organism in Eukaryota, Metazoa, Chordata, Aves, Passeriformes, Estrildidae.